This 634-nucleotide ribosomal RNA is filed under the name Leotiomycetes sp. genotype 495. RNAcentral's name for it is "eukaryotic LSU rRNA". It matches the Rfam family "Eukaryotic large subunit ribosomal RNA", at positions 1 to 601 of the family's 3401-position model. Lineage: Eukaryota; Fungi; Ascomycota; Leotiomycetes. The record is from RNAcentral.
CUACAACCCGUCAUCACAACCCCCACUUUACAAGGUUGACCUCGGAUCAGGUAGGGAUACCCGCUGAACUUAAGCAUAUCAAUAAGCGGAGGAAAAGAAACCAACAGGGAUUGCCUCAGUAACGGCGAGUGAAGCGGCAAAAGCUCAAAUUUGAAAGCUGGCUCCUUCGGGGCCCGCGUUGUAAUUUGUAGAGGAUGCUUCGGGCGCGGCUCCGGUCUAAGUUCUCUGGAACGAGACGUCAUAGAGGGUGAGAAUCCCGUAUGUGACCGGCUGCCUGUGCCCAUGUGAAGCUCCUUCGACGAGUCGAGUUGUUUGGGAAUGCAGCUCAAAAUGGGAGGUGUACUCCUUCUAAAGCUAAAUAUUGGCCAGAGACCGAUAGCGCACAAGUAGAGUGAUCGAAAGAUGAAAAGCACUUUGGAAAGAGAGUUAAACAGUACGUGAAAUUGUUGAAAGGGAAGCGCUUGCAAUCAGACUUGCGCGGCGUCGAUCAACCUGGGUUCUCCCUGGUGCACUCGGCGCCGCUCAGGCCAGCAUCAGUUUCGGCGGUGGGAUAAAGGCUGAGGGAACGUGGGUCACCUCGGUGACCGUUAUAGCCCUCGGUGCAAUGCCGCCUGCCGGGACUGAGGACCGCGCU